AUCUCCUACGGGGGGCAGCAGUGAGGAAUAUUGGUCAAUGGCCGAAGGGCUGAACCAGCCAAGCCGCGUGAAGGAAUAAGGCCCUACGGGUCGUAAACUUCUUUAGUCAGGGAACAAAGGGUGCCACGUGUGGCGCUGUGAGUGUACCUGAAGAAUAAGCAUCGGCUAACUCCGUGCCAGCCGCCUCGGUAAUACGGAGGCUGCGAGCGUUAUCCGUAUUUAUUGGGUUUAAAGGGUGCGUAGGCGUUUUUU
Molecule: ribosomal RNA, 252 nt
Filed under: uncultured bacterium
Lineage: Bacteria
Description: partial 16S ribosomal RNA
Rfam family: Bacterial small subunit ribosomal RNA
Source: RNAcentral